UGCUUUAAAAGUUUUCAAUUUAAGGCAGAACCAUAAUUCUAACCUGGAGUAUUAUUUGAUACACUAGUUCAGCAUCACACAAAACCACCUUCAAGAGCUAGAUUUCAUUACUAUCUAAUCUUAGUCUUUCAAGAAAAUGCCCUAUCUGGAAAUUCUCGUGGCUGAGGAUUUUUGAUAAGAUUCUAGCAAUUUAACAUUCGGUCACUGUGCAUUUGGCCACAACGUGUAAUAAAGGCACCUCUGAUUUUUAGAAAUAGAGGAAAACACAAACUUACAGCACCUCCCCUGUGUUCUCACGUCCCAG
Molecule: long non-coding RNA, 304 nt
Filed under: Bos taurus (domestic cattle)
Lineage: Eukaryota; Metazoa; Chordata; Mammalia; Artiodactyla; Bovidae
Description: long non-coding RNA NONBTAT004870
Source: RNAcentral